UACGGAAGGCAGCAGUAGGGAAUCUUCCGCAAUGGACGAAAGUCUGACGGAGCAACGCCGCGUGAACGAUGAAGGCUUUCGGGUCGUAAAGUUCUGUUGUUAGGGAAGAACAAGUACCGGAGUAACUGCCGGUACCUUGACGGUACCUAACCAGAAAGCCACGGCUAACUACGUGCCAGCAGCCGCGGUAAUACGUAGGUGGCAAGCGUUGUCCGGAAUUAUUGGGCGUAAAGCGCGCGCAGGCGGUCCUUUAAGUCUGAUGUGAAAGCCCACGGCUCAACCGUGGAGGGUCAUUGGAAACUGGGGGACUUGAGUGCAGAAGAGGAGAGUGGAAUUCCACGUGUAGCGGUGAAAUGCGUAGAGAUGUGGAGGAACACCAGUGGCGAAGGCGACUCUCUGGUCUGUAACUGACGCUGAGGCGCGAAAGCGUGGGGAGCGAACAGGGAUUAGAUACC
This 455-nucleotide ribosomal RNA is filed under the name uncultured bacterium. Its description in RNAcentral is "bacterial SSU rRNA". It matches the Rfam family "Bacterial small subunit ribosomal RNA", at positions 340 to 786 of the family's 1533-position model. The record is from RNAcentral.